RNAcentral lists this ribosomal RNA (744 nucleotides) under Flavobacteriaceae bacterium. RNAcentral describes it as "bacterial SSU rRNA". It matches the Rfam family "Bacterial small subunit ribosomal RNA", at positions 144 to 891 of the family's 1533-position model. The record is from RNAcentral. Lineage: Bacteria; Pseudomonadati; Bacteroidota; Flavobacteriia; Flavobacteriales; Flavobacteriaceae.
UAGCCCAGAGAAAUUUGGAUUAAUACCUCAUAGUAUAUAGACUCGGCAUCGAGAUUAUAUUAAAGUCACAACGGUAAAAGAUGAGCAUGCGUCCCAUUAGCUAGUUGGUAAGGUAACGGCUUACCAAGGCUACGAUGGGUAGGGGUCCUGAGAGGGAGAUCCCCCACACUGGUACUGAGACACGGACCAGACUCCUACGGGAGGCAGCAGUGAGGAAUAUUGGACAAUGGGCGCAAGCCUGAUCCAGCCAUGCCGCGUGCAGGAUGACGGUCCUAUGGAUUGUAAACUGCUUUUGUACAGGAAGAAACACUGGUUCGUGAACCAGCUUGACGGUACUGUAAGAAUAAGGAUCGGCUAACUCCGUGCCAGCAGCCGCGGUAAUACGGAGGAUCCAAGCGUUAUCCGGAAUCAUUGGGUUUAAAGGGUCCGUAGGCGGUUUAAUAAGUCAGUGGUGAAAGCCCAUCGCUCAACGGUGGAACGGCCAUUGAUACUGUUAAACUUGAAUUAUUAGGAAGUAACUAGAAUAUGUAGUGUAGCGGUGAAAUGCUUAGAGAUUACAUGGAAUACCAAUUGCGAAGGCAGGUUACUACUAAUUGAUUGACGCUGAUGGACGAAAGCGUGGGUAGCGAACAGGAUUAGAUACCCUGGUAGUCCACGCCGUAAACGAUGGAUACUAGCUGUUGGGAGCAAUCUCAGUGGCUAAGCGAAAGUGAUAAGUAUCCCACCUGGGGAGUACGUUCGCAG